CAUCGAAAAUAGCCGAGUUCCGCUAGGCGGAAACGGGGGAACCAUGUAUUUCUGGGGUGAAUGGUUGUGCUUUUUGACAACCUAGGGAGUCCUUUCGACCGAACCCUUCAGCUAACCUCGUAGGCUCUGGGAAGGGGCAGU
This 141-nucleotide small RNA is filed under the name Brevibacillus choshinensis. RNAcentral describes it as "c-di-AMP sequence". It matches the Rfam family "c-di-AMP riboswitch aptamer (ydaO/yuaA leader)". Rfam says of the family: This family represents a conserved RNA structure found upstream of the ydaO and yuaA genes in Bacillus subtilis and related genes in other bacteria. The ydaO/yuaA element is thought to act as a genetic "off" switch for the ydaO and yuaA genes in its native state. It is believed that the element may be triggered during osmotic shock leading to activation of ydaO, a predicted amino acid transporter gene, and members of the yuaA-yubG operon which code for KtrA and KtrB K+ transporters. The record is from RNAcentral. Lineage: Bacteria; Bacillati; Bacillota; Bacilli; Caryophanales; Paenibacillaceae.